This 492-nucleotide ribosomal RNA is filed under the name uncultured bacterium. RNAcentral describes it as "partial 16S ribosomal RNA". It matches the Rfam family "Bacterial small subunit ribosomal RNA", at positions 29 to 507 of the family's 1533-position model. The record is from RNAcentral.
AGUGAACGCUGGCGGUAGGCCUAACACAUGCAAGUCGAACGGCAGCACAGUAAGAGCUUGCUCUUACGGGUGGCGAGUGGCAGACGGGUGAGGAAUACAUCGGAAUCUACUUUUUCGUGGGGGAUAACGUAGGGAAACUUACGCUAAUACCGCAUACGACCUACGGGUGGAAGCAGGGGAGCUUCGGACCUUGCGCGAUUGAAUGAGCCGAUGUCGGAUUAGCUAGUUGGCGGGGUAAAGGCCCACCAAGGCGACGAUCCGUAGCUGGUCUGAGAGGAUGAUCAGCCACACUGGAACUGAGAAACGGUCCAGACUCCUACGGGAGGCAGCAGUGGGGAAUAUUGGACAAUGGGCGCAAGCCUGAUCCAGCCAUACCGCGUGGGUGAAGAAGGCCUUCGGGUUGUAAAGCCCUUUUGUUGGGAAAGAAAAGCAGCAGGUUAAUACCCCGCUGUUCUGACGGUACCCAAAGAAUAAGCACCGGCUAACUUCGUG